UACAGAGGGGGCAAGCGUUGUUCGGAAUUACUGGGCGUAAAGGGCGCGUAGGCGGCCCGCUAAGUCGAACGUGAAAUCCCCAGGCUCAACCUGGGAACUGCGUCCGAUACUGGCAGGCUUGAAUCCGGGAGAGGGAUGUGGAAUUUCAGGUGUAGCGGUGAAAUGCGUAGAUAUCUGGAGGAACACCGGUGGCGAAGGCGACAUCCUGGACCGGUAUUGACGCUGAGGCGCGAAAGCCAGGGGAGCAAACGGG
RNAcentral lists this ribosomal RNA (253 nucleotides) under uncultured bacterium. Its description in RNAcentral is "partial 16S ribosomal RNA". It matches the Rfam family "Bacterial small subunit ribosomal RNA", at positions 524 to 776 of the family's 1533-position model. The record is from RNAcentral.